Non-coding RNA from Bactrocera oleae (olive fruit fly), 862 nucleotides. Lineage: Eukaryota; Metazoa; Arthropoda; Insecta; Diptera; Tephritidae. The record is from RefSeq and is a predicted model, not a curated record.
GUUUGGUAUCAAGUAGUCCCAAACAAAUAUGUUUACAGUAUAAUUGUAGAUUGAUUAGUUUGAAAAUAUAAAAAUUGCUAAAACUAAUGAAGACAACUAGUCCGUUAAAGUUGUAAAACGAUUAGUCUCUUUUCGGAUCCAAAUAGGUGUUAUGAACCUCUUCAAAGGACAUGCUUGAAUAAAAACGCUAAUCGCAGACUCAUCGCAGAAUCCUGUCGAAGUUUUUGCAGGGUAUAUCUUUUAUGCUCUUGUAUGUGAGCUACUAUGUACAUACCAUAUAUAUGUAUGUAUAUGUUUGCAACAACGUCAUUUCAUAAUGCAAAAUUUGCUUGCGGCAAGCAGUAUAAAUAACGCAAAUAAAAUGAAAAUUGAAAAAAGUUUUGUCAAGAAUUUUUUGUGUGAUACAUCAAAUAUUUUUGAAGAGUGAUAAGUAAGGACUACAACUUUGAUCAAAAAUGUGUGAAUCGGAACAAUAACUAACUUCUAUGGAUACUCAGCUUGGAAAAUAAAUUUAUACAGUUACGUCAAAGAGAUCCCUUCAAUAUCCAAAAUUCGUACUCGUAUUGAAUAUAGCAUAAGCGCUUUUCAAAAUCUAAGGCCAAACUAUAAAAAUCUUAAAAGUAUUUAGACCUGGAAGAUCAUUAUAUAACAAUUAUAUAUAUAUAUUAAUUAAUUUAUAAAAAAAAAAUAAUGGUUACGGAACACUAUACGAGUAUAAGAUUCCCAUACAAAAAUUAAGAGUGAUGUAUAGUUGUAUAUUUAUUUUUAAAUAUAAUUUCAGCAGUCUAGAAAAUGUAUGUUAUUGUAUGUUAAUAAUCGCAUUGUCGCUGGGCAUAAUAAAUCGAGCCAAUGCAAUUUUAAA